UCCCAGGUAGCUCAGCUGUAAAGAAUCUGCCUGCAAUACAAGAGCUGCAGGAGCCACAGUUUCAAUCCCUGUCUUGGGAA
RNAcentral lists this transfer RNA (80 nucleotides) under Bos taurus (domestic cattle). It matches the Rfam family "tRNA". Rfam says of the family: Transfer RNA (tRNA) molecules are approximately 80 nucleotides in length. Their secondary structure includes four short double-helical elements and three loops (D, anti-codon, and T loops). Lineage: Eukaryota; Metazoa; Chordata; Mammalia; Artiodactyla; Bovidae. The record is from Rfam by way of RNAcentral. RNAcentral also lists the same sequence under 5 other names.